RNAcentral lists this ribosomal RNA (497 nucleotides) under uncultured bacterium. RNAcentral's name for it is "partial 16S ribosomal RNA". It matches the Rfam family "Bacterial small subunit ribosomal RNA", at positions 28 to 507 of the family's 1533-position model. The record is from RNAcentral.
GAUGAACGCUGGCGGCGUGCCUAAUACAUGCAAGUCGAGCGAACAGAUGAGGAGCUUGCUCCUCUGACGUUAGCGGCGGACGGGUGAGUAACACGUGGAUAACCUACCUAUAAGACUGGGAUAACUUCGGGAAACCGGAGCUAAUACCGGAUAAUAUAUUGAACCGCAUGGUUCAAUAGUGAAAGACGGUUUUGCUGUCACUUAUAGAUGGAUCCGCGCCGCAUUAGCUAGUUGGUAAGGUAACGGCUUACCAAGGCGACGAUGCGUAGCCGACCUGAGAGGGUGAUCGGCCACACUGGAACUGAGACACGGUCCAGACUCCUACGGGAGGCAGCAGUAGGGAAUCUUCCGCAAUGGGCGAAAGCCUGACGGAGCAACGCCGCGUGAGUGAUGAAGGUCUUCGGAUCGUAAAACUCUGUUAUUAGGGAAGAGCAAAUGUGUAAGUAACUAUGCACGUCUUGACGGUACCUAAUCAGAAAGCCACGGCUAACUACGUG